CUUGAUCAAGAUAGGAAAUGGCCCUUCCUAUCAAGUCCUGGGAGUCAUCCUCCGAACUUGGAAGGCAGGGUAGUGCAUACCUUUUCUUCUCAGCUCUGGAUUCUGGGGAUCAUUUCCCUUUCAGGAUAAACAGGGAAGGUCCCACACGUCACCUUCUCCUGCCAAGGCCUGCCACCCUUUCCCUACAAGCCGCAGUGCUAACCUUUUUCCCUCAGUUAGUCUUGUACCCCUCUACUAGCUAGGAAUUAAGAUUCCCUGCCUUUUCAGAGCAGGAAGUAAUCCAACCAAGAUCACAUAGCCGGAAGUGGUAAGCGGAGACUCAGCACCCUGACCGGCCUGUCCCCAGUCAGCAAAUUUUUCAGCAUCCAGAGGGUGACCUCCAGAGUACCAGACCUGGGCUCACUGCCCCUCUGCAUUUGCUUGAUGGAAACCCCUUCUCUGUCCCGGAGCCUCUGGUCGGAGAGCCCUCUGAGCUCCUGGGACCGGAGGAUGCUGGGUCUUGCGGCGAUUUCUGGCCCCAGUGAACAGAAGAGGCCCUGUGCUGAGCAUCCCUAUGGAGAAGGGCGUGUAGCAGAGGAACCGAAGCCGCCUGCCAAGAGCCGUAUGAGCGAGCUUGCGGGAAGUGGGUCCUUCAGUCCCAGUCAAAGCCUUCAGGUGUCUGCAGCCUUGGCUUGCUGCUUGAUCACAAACUCAUGAGAGACCUUGAUCCAGGGUCCCCCAGCUAAGCAGCCUUCCGAUUCUGCCUCUCAGAAGUUGUGUGGGAUGAUAAAUGCUUAGUGCUUUAAGCCAUUACAUUUCGGGAAUUAUUUGUUCGGGAGCUCUAAGUGAUGAAUACAAUAUUUCAGUAAACUGAACAUGUGGGGAGAACAGCUUCUAAGUGUGCUUGGCCCAGCUGGCUUUCCAGAGGACCUCCAAGUGCUUUCUAUGACUCAGACUUCUGGGCUCAGUGUCUGGAACAGGGAGAUGAGCGGCCUGGAGCUCUGUCUAGACAUCAGGAAUGGGUGUCUCCAACAUAGCCACGGCAUCUACCCCCGGCCCCAGCUCCGAAACAGCUGCACACGGCACCCAGCCUGCAACUGCUGUGGGGAGAAGACUCCAGAAAUGUUCCUCCAUCCCUCGCCCGCACCCCCCCGGCCUCAUGCCCAGGUCUACCUGCAGGAAUCCACACAGGCCUCAGAAGCGAAUCACAGCUACUAUUUUUGGAACACUUCUUAUGUGACAGGUGAUAUGCAAAGCACCUGGCGUGCAUCUUUUAAUUUAUUCUUCCCACCAUAUCAGAUAUUCCUGAAUCUAUUUUACAGUGGAGGAAACAGAGACCCUGAAGCCACCUGCCUUGGAUCCUAGAGCUACUAGGGCGUGGCUGCUUUAGACUUCCAUUUGGAUUUGUCUAGUUCCCCCACUGAGAGGCCAGGAAGCAACCCUAGACCUGAAAAUACUUUUCUUAUCUGUUCUCUGGGAGAGAAAUCCCCUGCGCAUUCCUCCAUCAGAGAAAAGGCCACAAUCUCAACCCAGAUUCCCCAGACCAAUGAUAUAAAGAGC
Molecule: long non-coding RNA, 1539 nt
Organism: Mustela lutreola (European mink)
Lineage: Eukaryota; Metazoa; Chordata; Mammalia; Carnivora; Mustelidae
Exons: 3
Source: RefSeq, a predicted model, not a curated record